GGGGUUGACUGGAUUUGACAGCGGACUGAGGUUGUAUGUAAGCAUGCGGAGUUAAGACUGUGCACUCCAUAAUCUCGUCGGUCAACAAUUUAAUUGGCGAAAACAACUACGCUCUCGCUGCUUAAUCGAAGUAUAGUAGAUUAGCUUUAUCCCUGCAAGGCAGGGAACGAGACAUCGCUCAGAGCCCUCUCCCUGAGGCUUACUGAUUAAAGCGGUGCAGAAAUAUCGGGGAUAGCAGGGGUAGUGCCUCUAUGCUCUUGUGAAAUCUUAUGGGGAUAAGGUUGCGGUUGGUGGCUUGGGUCUUGCCGUAGCACGAAAAUGAAGUCCAAGAUAAGCAUGUAGAAAGCACACGGUUUCACCGUUUGGACGAGGGUUCGACUCCCUCCAGCUCCAC
RNAcentral lists this transfer-messenger RNA (394 nucleotides) under uncultured Prevotella sp. It matches the Rfam family "transfer-messenger RNA". From Rfam's summary of the family: Bacterial tmRNA, also known as 10Sa RNA or SsrA, is named for its dual tRNA and mRNA-like properties. Lineage: Bacteria; Pseudomonadati; Bacteroidota; Bacteroidia; Bacteroidales; Prevotellaceae. The record is from RNAcentral.